CCUGGAGAUAAUCGGCGCAAGUAUUUGGGCUCAACUACACUUGUGAGGAGGAGAAAUGUAAAGAGGACUUACAAGUCUGACAACUGCUUUUAACUAUUGGAGUGUCUGAUAAAGGAUCUUUAUUUUCAUCGCAGCCUCAAGCCUCUAUAUACAUUAUCUGAGAUGCCAAUACAGUUCAGAGCAGACUUAAUUGCUCUACUCUUGUGAGUGUUUAUGAUAUAUAUAUUCACAAUAUUUAUUGUUUAUGCAUAUUGCCCUAUGAGCUGUUUUUUCUUUUGAGAAUUGCACUGAAGUUCUGACAGAAGCAAUUUCAAGAAUUUCUCAAAAGUAAGGUAUUAACAUUUUGUCCCUACUUUGCACAAAUUAGUGGGGUUUUAUCACUAGUGCACUGUAACACUUUUGUUUUUUUGUAUUAGCACAAUUCGCUUAUGCUACUACACACGUAUGUGGUAUUCAUAUUAUUCAGCAAUUGAUUUAUAGCUUUAAAAGCACAGUGCACUUUAUUUUUUGUCAUUUAUGUGAAUAUUAUCCACUUGUAUAUGGUAUUUAUAUUAUUCAUUAAUUGCUUUCGGUCUUAAAGGCACAGCGCACUUUAUUUUUUGUUUUUUGUUUUCUUGUAUCUUAUGUGAGUGGAGCUUCUUCACAAUAUAUAGUGCUGCUUUAGAUUUAGAUUUAUAUUGAACUGCAUAUAUCAUUUUUAGCCCCAUUUUUACAGUUGCCUGAUUGACAGGGGGUGGUCUGUGUAACUCCAAGUGCACAUUUAAAAAAAAAUAAAUCUGCACUUUUUGUAAAAUGAUUGCUAAGGUUAGUGUUGGGAGUAGAUUUAGCUUUAGGGUUAAGGGUAUGGCUACGGUUAAAGUAAUGGUUUGGGUUAGGGUCAUCGAAUAAAUUCCAUUAAUUAGUUUUGGAGACAUUAUAGUAAACCAAGAGAAAAGUUUGAGGAGUUUAGUGAUAACUGCAGAGCCCACAGAAGCAGAGGAGUAACUAGAGACCCCAGUUCUUGGAUGCAAAAAUUGCCCUGGAGCCCCCUCGAUGUGUCUCAUUUCCCCAUGUGUCUCAUUCCCUCCCCCCAGCCCCUCCAUGUGUCUCAUACCCCCAAAGUGUCUCAUUCCCUCCCCCCAGCCCCUCCAUGUGUCUCAUACCCCCAAAGUGUCUAAUUUCCUUCUCCCAGCCCCUCCACGUGUAACAUUCCCUCCCCCCCAAGUCCCUCCACAUGUCUCAUUCCCCCCAAGCCCCUUAAUUUGUCUCAUACCCCCCAAAGCCCCUCUAUGUGUCUCAUUCCCCCCAGGCAUCUCCAUGUUUCUUUCUCCCCCUCCACUCAUGUCCCUCCAUGUGUCUCAUCCCCCCCCCCCAAGUGUCUCAUUUGCACCCCCCAGGCCCUACAUGUGUCUCAUUUCACCCACAAGCCGCUCCAUGUGUCAUUCUCCCCCUCCACUCUUGCCCCUCCAUGUGUCUCUCCAUUUCUCUCUCCCCCCUCCCCUCCCCUGCACAACUCCAUUUCUCUGUCCUCCCCUCCAGCUUCUCAAUUUUUCUCUCCCCACCCUUUCCCUGAAGCCCCUUUAUUUCUCCCACUUUGCAGCCCCUCCAUUUCUCUAUCUCCUUCCUGCAGACUCUCUAUUUCACCCCCCUUGCCCUGCAGACCCUCCGUCCACCCCUUCCCUGCACACCUCCAUUUCUCUCCCCUGCAGACCCUCCAUUUCCUCAUUCCCCUUCCACUGCGCCUCCAUUUCUCCAUUCCCCUUCCCUGCACCCUCCAUUUCUCCAUUCCCCCUUCCCCUGCACACCCUCCAUUUCUCCAUCCCCCCUCCCCUGCACUCCCUCCAUUUCACCCCCCCACCCUUGCAGACCCUCCAUUUCUCCAUUCCCCCUUACCUGUUUGCCGCAAUCGCAGUACCCGUCUGAGUCUGACAGGAAGUGCUCUCUCAGUGAGCACAGCGGCAGGAGGGUAGCAGCCCAGCACAUCUCUUCUCUCCUGCCGGUUAGCCUGCAACCGCGGGUCCCGGCUGGUGCUGCUGUGCACCGGCCCUAAAGGUCUGCUGGCGGCCCACAGUCGCAGGGGUCGCAGUGGCGGCCAGGCCCUCUGGAGUGACGGGCCCGGUCGCAGCUGCGACCCCUUCGACCGUGGUAGUUACGCCACUGCACGGAAGGCAUUAAUUUCCCUUAAUAGUGACUUCAGCUUUCUGAUUUGUAACAUGAUUACAUGUUUUAGGGAUAACAUUAGGUCUACAAUUAGAGAUAAUUCUAAUGUUAGGGUUAAGGAGAACAAUUUUCUCCCAGACUACCAACCUGCUGACAUCAUUACAUCAUUACCACCUACCCAUAACACUUUUUGCUCAGCAAAUAUAGUACAUUUGUUUUAGUUGAUGUAAUGGAGAGCAGUUGAACUGACUGCAGUUGGGUUCUCUUGUUCUCCACAACCACUCAAUUCUUGGCAAAGAUAACUCUGAGCCAAAAAAAUGUUGUAUUAAAAAAAAUAUCAUUUAUUUUGAAAAAUAUUUUUUAUUAAAAUAUAUCAGAAGAACUGGUUGGCAAGUUAAUUCCAUGUGCAUAAUUUGUGUCCCUGCUAAAGACCACUGGCCGUCACAGCUUACUGGAUGGAACUUCUGGCCUUUCUUUUUUAGAUGAGAAGAUCCACAAUCCUAUGAAGCUCCAAGGCUCCCUCUGCAGGAGACUUUGAUGUAUGACACUCAAUGUACUGAUCCCAAUAAUACCACCUGCUAUACCUACUGAUUCUAAUAAUGUCCUACCAUACCUUCUCAGAGUGCCAAUGGUUCAUAAUCACCAUCGUAACCUAUACCUAUUAAUUGUCCUGAGUGUGAUUUGACACACUGACAAGGUUAUUUACCAAAGUGAGAAAGUGAAUUUCAAAUUUAAGGUGUAAAUAGAGGAACUGGGACAAUUCUCCAAGUCAGUUAUGCUUUCACUUUAUCUACUCUUGGCUUAAAUUUCACAUAUACAUUGAAUUCACCUUGAAGUCUCACUUUAGUGGAUAACCCUGUGUGAGUGGACCUGUGACAGUAGUUUCAGUGUGGCUAAUAGCAGUUGACUCCAUUUCAUUUUAUUAAUGUCAAUCUAUCCAACCUUGGAUGGCAAUGAUUGGCUGAGAUCUCGGCUUACCUGGUUCUUGCAAUGCAACAGAUGAACUUACCAACCUGAGACAGAUAUAUCACAGAUAACUGGCUCUAGCCUACAUUAAUAAGAGAAACUUUCCCUCUCUGGAAAAUUGUUUCUUUAAAGAAGACAGGUAGAGUUCAGUUCUGUACAUUGAGCACAUUGGCUUUAAAGCGACACUAAGCACCAAAACAAGGUAUACUGUUUGCACAGGUACGUAUAUAAAGGUACAAUGAGAGGUGUAGUUAUAAACUCACCCACUUAAUAUUUAAUUACUGGUAUAUUUACUUGUACAUAUAAUUUGUGGCAUUACUUACCUCCACCAAACUGCGCAGACCCCCUCCUGCCGCACGGUCCAAUCGCGCGGAAAACUGAGGGAGACUCACCUCCCUCGAUCCUAGGCGACCCCCUCCUGUCACGCGGUCCAAUUGCGCAGCAAACUGAGGGAGACUCACCUCCCUCGAUCCUAGACGAUCUCCUCCUACCGCGCAGUCUGACUGAAUUAUGCGGCCGCGUGGCAGGACGUCUAUUUAUAGAUGUGGAUUCUUAAAGUGUCCACAUCAUCAUUGCAAGACUAAUCUGUUUUGGAUCACAGUGAUGACAUGGACCUAUCAGAACAUAGGUAAGCCUAUUUAAGGCUUGUUUUUAGCCCAUUCAUUGCCCUAUUAUGGUUUCUGUUAGAACCUUGUUUAGUGCUCCUAGUGAUUCUCUUGUGAUUUCCUGUGUUUGACCUCGGCAUCAUAUUUGAUUCGCGAUUUCUGGUAUCCUGACCUCGGCUUCGUAUUUAAAUCGUGAUUUCUGUUAUCCUGACCCCGGCUUCGUAUUUGACUCGUGAUUUCGGGUAUCCUGACCAAGGCUUCGAAUUUGACUCGUGAUUUCGGGUAUCCUGACCUCGGCUUCGAAUUUGACUUGUGAUUUAUGGUAUCCUGACCCGGCUUUGUCUUGACUCUGAGUAUUCCUGUUAUUUCUGUCCUUGAUUUAUUCUUGACUCUGAUUCUUGUUGUUUAGUUACGUUUAGUCCGGCCAUUCUAAGGCUUGGUAAUACGUCUUUCGGAUCCACCUUUUGUGGUUUCCUCUUUCCUGCAUGUUGGGUUAUGACUCCCGUGACAUAAUUGAAUCUCACUAAACCUACUUAAAUAACCUGCUCAUCAACAGAGGUGGCUCUCUAAUUAGGUGGUUUAGGCGGCCACCUAAGGUUUCGUGCUGGCUGGGGCCCCGCAGCCACCUAAACCGCCUUAUGGCAAACUGUGUCAGGUCCUCGGUCACUGACACCAGGAGGGGGCCCGACGGCUUGCCCGGUAUGCCGCCAGGUGCGAGGACCCUCCAGGCUGCCUGGCCGGAGAGCACCUGUAGCCGUUGGUCUGCAGCUCCGUGCAGUGUGCAGAGCUGCAGACCAAAUAUCUUGCGAGAUCUGUCCAAUCGGAGCAUUGCUGUGGGUUACCACGGCAACGCUCUGACCGGGUCUCGCAAGAUACUUGGUCUGCAGCUCUGCACACUGCGCGGAGCUGCAAACCAGACAUCGCCACCGGAACCACCAGGGAAUGCAGGUAUUUAGUCCCCCCUCCCAUACCACUAUUGCCCCCUCCCUCCCAGUAACCCCCUUCAAUAUACACCCUCCCUCCCUCCCAGUAACCUCCCUCCCAAUAUACCUCCUCCCUCCCAGUAACCCCCUUCAAUAUCACCCCCUCCCGAUAUAUCCCCUCCCUCUCAGUUACCCCCUUCAAUAUCACCCAAUAUCCCCCAUCACAGUAUUACCCCCUCCCUGUCAGUACUACCGUCUCCCUUACACUAUCACCGCCCUACCUCACACUAUCACCCCACCAACUCCCAGCAUUCCCCCCUCACACUAUCACCCCCUCCCUCACAGUAUCCCCCCUCCCUCACAGUAUUUCCUCACUUACAGUAUUACCGUCCUUCCUCACAGUAUUACCCCCUCUAGCACAGUAUUACCCCCUCCCUCACCCCCUCCCUCACAGUAUCCCACCCCCUCCCUCACAGUAUUACNNNNNNNNNNNNNNNNNNNNNNNNNNNNNNNNNNNNNNNNNNNNNNNNNNNNNNNNNNNNNNNNNNNNNNNNNNNNNNNNNNNNNNNNNNNNNNNNNNNNGGGCACUAUAGGGAUAGAUGGGGAACAGGGUUACUAUAGGGGUAGAGGGGGGCACUAUAGAGAUAGAUGGGGAACAGGAUUACUAUAGGGGAAGAGGGGGGCACUAUAGAGAUAGAUGGGGAACAGGAUUACUAUAGGGGAAGAGGGGGGCACUAUAGGGAUAGAUGGGGAACAGGGGUACUAUAGGGGAAGAGGGGGGCACUAUAGGGAUAGAUGGGGAACAGGGUUACUAUAGGGGUAGAGGGGGGGGCACUAUAGAGAUAGAUGGGGAACAGGGGUACUAUAGGGGGAGCAGGUCUCACUUACCAGGCAGCAGAUUCAGGCCUCGGUUAGCUCCGCCCCCGCCGACCACUUGGCUCCGCCCCCAUCGGCUGCUUGGCUCCGCCUCCUACAGUCUCUUUCGCUGCUAAGCCCUGGUAGAGGGCAGGGGGUGUGCAAGCUGUCAGCCAUAGGGCGCCCCCUGCUGCCAUGGCGCCCUGUGCGGCCGCACAGCUCGCACACCCCUAAGGCCGGCCCUGCCGACGACGGCUCAGGACCGUCAUAAUUACUUACCCGAUCGCCACAAUCGGCAUUGCUCCAGGUCUGGGGGGACUGUCUGACAGCCCCCCUCUGCAAUUUACGCCUGCAUUGGCCAUGCAAUCGCUCUAACAGAGCGGUCACAUGGCCGCAAUAGGCAUCCAAGUAUCUGCCUGCAGGGGGACUGCCUGUGCUGACAGGCAGUAUCCCUGCUGCUGGAAAAUGAAAAAUAUAAAUAAAAAUGUUAGUAAAUAAAAAAAAUAUAUAUGUAUAUAUUUCUUGUAUAUAUAAUGUCAUACUAAGUUUAUUUUCAUAUUAAUAUAUACAUAUAUUAAUAUAAAAAUACACUUAUAAUUAAAUUACACACGUAUGUAUAUCAUAUAUAUAUUUAAUAACUAUAUAUUGCGUAUAUAUUAUUAUAAAAUAUAAAUAAUAGGUAAAUACAAAUAAAUUAAAAAAGUAAAAAUAAUUAGAGGGCGUGGCCGACUACGGAGCUGAGUAGUCGCUUAUCUGUGGAGCUCUGCUUCGGCCCCACAGAUUAAGAGUCCUAACGCAGAGAAAUCCGCUCCAAUACCACACAGCUUACCUGCCACCCGACAGCUGACAACAUGGGACGCAAACAUAAAAGGCAAAUCCACAUAGAGCGACCCGCGGCACCCGAUUUUAGGCUUGCGUUCCAGAGGCCUACACAGACGCGGCCCGCCAAGAUGGCGCCGGAACCGCAGAGUGAGCUGGAAACCUCUGACGACUCCCAGGAAGAGAGGGACUCCCAAGCCUCACUCCCAGGCCCAACUCACAGGUCUGAUUCAGAGGAGGAUGACUCCCCAUCCACAAAAGGGGACAUCAGAAAGCUGCUGACAGACCUCAGACAGAUCUGGAAGGCCGAUUUAAAGGAGACCCAAGCUGAAAUAGGGGUCUUACAGCAGAGAGUCCAGGAGGUGGAGACCAGAGAAAAAUCCAGAGAUAACCAACUCCAAGACACCAAACAGCAACUGGACGGACUUACUGAGCAGGUCCGACGCCUACAAGGAACUGUGGUAACACUUGAGACCAGAUACCGCCUCUGCAACAUACUCCUCAGAGGUAUCCCUGAAACUGUGGAUGGAGAAGACCUACUGCCCUUUGUUCGGAGACUUAUCUCCUCCAUGGGCCUCAGGUGUAACUUAGACACCCCACUGAUACUAUCCACCUUCCGGGUGCGCAAAUCGCCAGCAGCACCCGUGGGCGCCCCCAGAGACACAAUAGCUACCACCAGAGACAUAGCUGCGAGAGCUGCCAUCAUGGCUGGAGCAAUACCAUUGGGGUCGGUGAAAUUUGAGGAAUGCGAGGUGGCCAUGUACAGUGACCUCCCUUUUGCCGUGCUUGCCGCAAGGAGACAACUGGCACCGGUCGCUAAAAGACUGAGAGAACAAUCGGUCCGUUACCGUUGGGGCACAGAAGGUUCAUUGAUGGUGCAAAAGGGCACCGACGUACUCACUUUGACCUCAGGAAAAGACUCAGAGAUGUUCUUCAAAAAGCUAGACACGUUAGCCAAUGGACACGGCAAGCGGACUGAGAAACGCAACACUUAAUUAUUAUUAUAGUGAUGUUUAUUAUUAUAGUAAUGUUUUUCAUGUGUAUAUAUGUUUAUAGGGUCAGGGGGAGUAUCCAUAUACUUUUAACCCACUAAUCCAAGCCUUUGCCCUAAUUACCUGACUUCGCAUACACAGAAUAAGUCUGUAGAAAAUGCUAGAAUCACGCAACCUCACUGAACAGGGGUCUCCAUAUAAAGAUAGAAACGUGUAACCUGGUUCCUCGCAAUGCUACCGUACAUACUUAACUGAUAUUUAACCGAUACCGUGAUUAUUGCUAUGUUUGUAACCCAACGAAAUGUUACUAGAUCCUGUUAUAACCCAUAUAAUAACCCAUAUAAUGGAAAAAUGUAUACUGUGUGUACAAAACCCAAUAAAACACAAAUUAAAAAAUAAAAUAAAAUAAAAAAAGUAAAAAUAAUAAAAAUAAAAUAAAAAGUAAUAUGUAAUUUUAUUCUAACUGUAUUUUGAUAUUAAUAUAUAUAUCAAAAUACACUUAGAAUGAAAUCGUAUUUCGUAUUAUUUUUAUUUAUUUAUAUAUAUAUAUAUAUAUAUAUAUAUAUAUAUAUAUAUAUAUAUAUAUAUAUAUAUCCAUAUACAUAAUCACAUUAAUAAUUUCAAUAUAUAAAUAUGUAUAUAUAUAUUUAAAUUCUAUGUGCAUAUUUAUGUAAUAAUUUUACAUAAUUAAAGGACCACUAUAGUGCCAGGAAAACAAACUCAUUUUCCUGGCACUAUAUAGUCCUUAGAUCCCCCCCACCCUCAGGUAAAAACCCCUUCAGCCACUUACCUUAAUCCAGCGCCGGGCUCCCUUGGUGCUGGUGACCUUUCCUCCGUCUCCAACAUCAGCUCCCGAAUGAAGCCUAACGCAUGCGUGGCCAAGUUUUACCGCAUGUGCGGUAACUUUCCAUUGCACCCUAAAACCUGUACAUGGGGAGGGGGUACUGUUUUACUCGGGAGGCUUUGUUGAACACAAAUAUUAGUGUUUCAAAACAGUAAAACAUAUCACAGGGAUGAUAUUGUCAGUGAAAGUGACUUUUUUUGCAUUUUUCUCACACAAACAGCACUUUCACUGAUAAUAUCAUUGUUGUGAUAUGCUUUACUGUUUUGAAACACUAAAAUUUGUAACAGUACCCCUCAUGUACGGGUUUUAUGUCGUUUUUUAAAGUUACAGGGUCAAAUAUAAGGCUUGAUUUUCAGUUUUUUUCAAUUUGCCAGAUUGGUUAUGUUGCCUUUGAGAGCGUAUGGUAGCCCAGGAAUGAGAAUAACCCCCAUGAUGGCAUACCAUUUGCAAAAAAAGACAACCUAAGGUAUUGCAAAUGGGAUAUGUUCAGUCUUCUUUAGUAGCCACUUAGCGUUUUUUGCAUUUUUUUAUUUUAUUUUUAUUUUUUAUUUUUUUUUUUUUUUUUAAGAUUUUUUUUUUUUUAUAUUCUUUAUUUUUGAACAUGCAUGAGGUUACAUUGCAUCCUGCAUUGCCACAACAGCAAAUGCAAGGAUUUGCGAUACAUUCAGUGAUACAUGUGAAAUAAUAGUGAGGACUACUAGAGAUAAUACUUGCAUCAUUUAGGAAAACAGCAUGAAAUUUUAUAUUUAACGAUUAAGCUAGCAACAGUAUUGUAGAUACAACAUGAGUUAGUCAAGGUAAUGUAGACUUAACUAGUGGCUCAUUUUUAAGUUAGAGAUCAUGCAGGCUAAACGUAAACAGGCUUAGUUAUGUAGCUAUACAGUAGGUUCAGUAACUUCAGUUAAGAUGUAGUGUGGAAUAAGAGUGUACGUUGCUGUGAGUGCCGUAUACAUUGCGCUAACUUGCGGUCACUGGUAGAUACAACUUAUAGAUUAACUUUUAUACUAUGUCUAGGUAGGUCAUAUUAUGAAGACUAGUGGGGUUACACAAUGUGGGGCAACUGUCACCCUGAUGGAUCGUAGUUCCCAGAGCUGCCUCCGUGUGGGGGAUAUCGGUAUUCUGGUGGUCCCAAGGCCACUCAGACAGGGGUAGUCCCGCUUUUAUCAGAUACCUCUUCUGCUGUGUUCAGGUGGUAGGGGGCAAGUGUCCAUCAGAGCAGGCAUCAGAGUGUACUUUGUCCUCAUAGACUCCUGCAUAGUUCUUUGGGUGAAUUCGAGUUGCAGCCUUGGCGCUUGCCGUCUUCCCUUGUCUGCAGGCUGAUGUCCGCCAUGCGUGAGAGCUGGGCUUUGUCCAUGGGAGUCCGCCGCUUUCGGGGUAAUCCUGUUAUAGGCUGAGUGGUAAGUGAGUGCUUCCGGCAGAGGUGUCAUGCCGGGCAGCUGGCGCAGUUACCCCAGGCGGGGAUCGGUUGCUGUUAGGAGUUCCGCCCUCCCGGUGCAGCCGCAAACUCCCGCUUGUUCCGGUCGCCCAUGCAUCUAGUUGCUGGCUUGGGUGAUAAGGGUAGGCUCUGUGUUUGCCGUUUCCCUAUGUAGUGGGAUCGGGAUGUGGGAGCUGUUUUUGGUGUGAUCAUGAGGAGGUGGGAGGUGUUCCCCUUGUUGUCUGCGUGCAAGACGCCCGCCAUUUUGGAGGCAGCAGUCGGGCUUCUCAGCCUCAGUCGCGGAGUUACAUUCAGGGCCGCAGGGUGAGGACCGGGAUCACCCCCCCGGUCCAUAGGGGGGGGAACGGAGCCGGAUCCGCGCCGGUCUGUACCGUUGGUCUGGUUCUGUGGUGCAGGAUAGUGAGGCAGCGGCCGUCUGCCUCACUCACCGCCGGAGAAGGCCCGGGUUGGGGCAACAUGUUUUUCUCCCCCAGGGGACUGAAGCUCAGUGAGCCAGCCUCUCCCCGGGUCCAGCAGUCCCUCGGCUCUGGGUAUCUUCGCGGUUGAUCAGGUUUUAGGUGGUAAUCAGCGUUUUUAGCAGUGAUUAUGUAUUGUGUUACUGGAGCUGGUCUGACUUGCGACCGUCCAGCCUGGCGGUCCGGCCCCGCCCCCGUUUUUUGCAUUUUUAACACACAAACAAAUAUAAAUGCUAACUUUGGCCAGUGUUUGUGACUAAGUGGCUACUAAAAAAGACUGGACAUACCCCAUAUUGAAUACCCUGGGUUGUCUACUUUAUAAAAUAUGUACAUGUGAGGUGUGAUUCACUAUUUAUACAUUUUAAAAAUAUAUAUUUUGAAACAGCAAUAUCCUACUUGUACUUAUAGCCCUAUAACUUGUACACAAAAAAAGCAAAAACACAGGUAAACACUGGAUGUUUUUAAACUCAGGACAUUUUGAAUCUAUUUAGCAGUUUUUUUCAUUAACUUUUGUAGAUGAGUAAAAGAUUUGUCAAGUAAAAGUCAAAAAACAUGUUUUUUGUUUUCAAUUUUUUACCAUUUAAAAUGUAUUUUUUUUUAAAGUAAAUUACAUGACAUGAUAGAAAUAAUGGUAUGUAAAGAAAGCCCCUUUUGUCCUGAAAAAAAAAACCAAUAUAUAAUUUGUAUGGAAACAGUAAAUGAGAGAGAGGAAAAUUACAGCUAAACACAAACACCACAAAAGUGUUAAAACAGCCCUGGUCCUUAACGUACAACAUGGCCAAAAUAACCCGGUCCUGAAGGGGUUAAAGCAGCCGAAUUGAAAAAAUUCAGCUAUACUUUCCUUUCAGCUGCUCUGGACUUAAAUUCAUUUUAGUGAAUAAUCCUGUUAGUUCUGGGCAAAAACACAUGCAGAGGCCAGUUCAUUAGCUGCAUAGACAAAUUCUGCAUCUAUAUAAAAAAAAGUAAGUUUUUAAAGGCUUAGGAAAUAUUGAAGCAAAUUUUAGUAACUGGAUAUUUUUUGCAAUAAUUAAUUAUACACACUAAAAACAUGUAUUUUAGAACAUUAGAGUUUCCCUUUAAAGGGACACUAUAGCCAUCUGAACAACUUUAGCUUAAUAAAGCAGUUUUGGUGAAUAGAACAUGCCCCUGCAGCCUCACUGCUCAAUCCUCUACCAUUUAGGAGUUAAAUCCCUUUGUUUAUGAACCCUAGUCCCACCUCCCUGCAUGUGACUUGCACAGCCUUCCAUAAACACUUCCUGUAAAGAGAGCCCUAUUUAAGCUUUCUUUAUUGCAAGUUCUGUUUAAUUAAGAUUUUCUUAUCCCCUGCUAUGUUAAUAGCUUGCUAGACCCUGCAAGAGCCUCCUGUAUGUGAUUGAAGUUCAAUUUAGAGAUUGAGAUACAAUUAUUUAAGGUAAAUUACAUCUGUUUGAAAGUGAAACCAGUUUUUUUUUUUUUUCAUGCAGGCUCUUUCAAUCAUAGCCAGGGGAGGUGUGGCUAGGGCUGCAUAAGCAGAAACAAAGUGAUUUAACUACUAAAUGACAGUGAAUUGAGCAGUGAAAUUGCAGGGGAAUGAUCUAUACACUAAAACUGCUUUAUUUAGCUAAAGUAAUUUAGGUGACUAUAGUGUUCCUUUAAAAGUAGGUAUAUAUUGUUUUGAGUUGAAUGGGGACUUGUUAAAUUAUACUAUACUGUGACAGCCACCGUCAAAAACUAACUAGUUUACAUCUAGUCUAAAAAAGAAACAUAUGGUAAAAAAGCAAAAUAAGAAAAUAAGAUUAAAAUGCCAAUGCAAAACGAUAGUAUAAAGUAGUGAUAACUUUUAAACACUAGGUGGCGCUCUUGCAAAAGCGUUGUGUUUUGUAAUACAGUUUAACAAUCAUACAUAAUAUAAAACAAACAAAAUGUAAAAUGAAAAAUAAAGAUAUUAAUCUUUAAACUCUAUCUAGACAUGGAAAUGGCUAAAAUCUCUCACUUCUAUUGUUAACAGUGGCAGUACUCUCAAUAGAUUAAUGAAAUAUAUGUUCUGCAGCAAUCAAGUAGUAGAUUCAUUCCUGUGGAAAAAAACCAAAAUCAGUCUGUUUGCUGGGGGCUUCCUCUCUUAACAUACCAGUAGCUUAAUUUAUGUGUUUACGGUAGCUCCAGCUGGGCAUCCAUGCAGUACAUGCACUCCCAGAGACAGUUACAAGAAAGCAUGUUAAUGUUAGAUUGUACUCGUUGAAAGGAAGGAAAGGUCCCAGUAUUUCAUCACUAGAAAAACGUAAAUCUAGCCUCCUGUAUGUUUUACCUCUACUCCAUUUCUUCUCUUUUACUGCAAUUACAUUUUUGUACAUUAAAGGGACACAUAGUCACCAGAACAACUGCAGCUUAUUCAGCGCUUGUAAAUUACUGGGGGGCAGUUUAGUCACCAGGUCCGGAGUCUCUCAUGUCCAGCAGAAAAGAACAAACGCAGAAUGUGUCCUUGGGAAUAUGUAGAUGAAAAAAAAGAAGAAACUGAUAGUGUGAUAUGUAAAAUACGAUAUAAAAGCAAAUAAUAAAAAUUGUCCACACACUUUUCAGGAGCUUGGGUUCAGCUCCAACUAUCUCGCUUUGGCAGAAUGAUCCCCACCUAGGGAUAUAGUGUAGUCCACAGGUCUGUCAGCAGGUCCUCCUCUGUGUCGAUUUGUUCAUCAGCAUGUAGGGACUGAAGAAAAUACUAUGCUGUAGGAUGUCAGACCAGAACAACAGUAGGUAAGGUAGAUAUAUAAAUUGUGACUCACAUGUUUUGGAGCCUGAACGUCGGCUCCUCAAAUACAGUGUAGGGUGGUAUGAUCCCCACUGCAGGAUAUAAGUGGUGGUGGCGUCUCUCUGUGUAUAAGAAAAAAGAAAGGAGAAAAAACACAAUAGUGUGUUACUGUAAAAACUGAGAUGUUAAAAAUUCUACUCACAUUUAGUGGAGCAAAAAAAGGUUUGCUCAGUCCAGAAGGCGUUGGUGGUUUUGUGUCCCCACCGAGGAUCUAGACGUGUAUGAAUCCAAUGUAAAAGUAUUGGUGGGAUUAAAAAUCUCACAGAUAUGGAGUAGAUAGUAUGGAUAGAGAUACCACUCAAACUGAAAAUAAUGGGGUUACCACCAAACCCUGAAGUGCAAAUGAAUAUAGAAUAUUAGAUAUGCUCUAAUAAGUAUCCAGGAGUGAUAUAGGAUAUGUAUCUUUUAAAACAUUAAGUAAGUAGAUUGGCUUAAAAUUAGUACUUGUAAAAUUAAUGAUAGUAAAAUGGAUCAAAAAGUCAAUAUUGGCAUUAAGUCACUAUGUGAAAGUCCACAAAUAUAGCAACAUAUGUGAUCAAAUACAAAUAAAAAAUAUGUGUUGAAAAAGUCACUGAAAAAAAUGAAUGAAAAGUCCACAGUCUUUGCAACAAUAAUGCUGUUUGAAACUGUGAUUGUAAAUAGUUUUCACAAUGUUAGCUUGUAGCAGUUAGCCUCAAUUACAGAGUUUGACUGGGGUUUAUCUGCUAAACAAGUUUUUUGAAUAUAGUACAAAAGACAGAUAUCGUCUUCCUUAAAUGCUGUAAGUUGUAAUAAUGUACACUGCUUAUUACUGUAAAAUACUUAAAGAUCAUACAUUAGGAUCCUAAUUAAUGAAUGAUGCCUUCGAUCUACAAUGAAACAAAAUCAGAAUCCAUAGUGUUUGCUGCAUAUAAAAAGGCUUUUAAUCAAAAUUAGUGAUAUUAAAAUUGCUCCCACAUAUUGGUUGGGUAUCAAUGUCCUGAAAUUGAAAUAGAAAUGUAGAAAUAUUUUCCUCACUCCUGUCCAAAAUACAUGUUAUUUAUUUUAUGCCUUUAAGACAUCCCACCAUAUGAGAAUAAGAGGUUAUGUUUUGGCGCCGUGAAAAUAUUCUGUAGGAAGUUCUAUAAAUACCUCUGAAUAUAUAUAUUUUUCCAAACAUUUUAUUUUUUUUACACCACCCCCCCAGGAUGUGACACAGAUACCAGGCUGCCUGGCAGAGGUCCAUUAAUUGCUAAUUCACACCAACAAAAAGGAGACGGUUAACCGGACAGGGGUGUUAUAAGUAGAACGCACAAUUAUAUGCAGUUAAACUAUAUAUUAUCUCGCCAGAGCUGUACAUUCAAUGUGUAUCUUUAGCCAAGAGAAACAAUUUUUGUGAUUAAAUAGAUUCAAACUUAUUUCUGUGAUUUUGUAUCUAGUGUCAUGUGAAUAAGUAUCAUGAAAUAUAAGCAGGAAUUGGAAUGCUAUCUAUCUAUCUAUCCAUCCAUCUAUCUAUCUAUUCUUUAUUGAUGAAGGCAUCAAAGAUAAAACUUUAAUAAACAAAUAGUAGUGCUAUUAAUGAACAGGUUACCAUAGUGAUGUUUCCACCUGCCUUGUAUACAUUUCCUGGUUAUCAUACCUCCUGAGAUGCUUUUUCCAUUUUGUAACCAUUUUCAUAAAAUUUUCCAUUCCCCUUAUUUAUUUUGGAACCCACCUCUGCACUUCUUCCUCAUGCAUACCGGUUACAAGCUGUCAAUCUUACUAUAGUAAGCAUAGGUGUGUACCAGUGUGUAACAUAUUUUGUCCCAGUAUAUAGGUAAUAUUUCUUCCUUCAAGUUAGUGAAAUGGCCUAAAUAAUAGCAUCUUUCCUAUCCUACUUACCAUACAUCCCCUUGUUUUUCACUUCUUCUUUAUUUUUCUAGAAUUUAGGACACAAAGUAAAUACUAUUAUUAUUAUUAUUAUCAUACAAUGUUCUAGUAUUCAUACAUCUGUAAGUUGCUGCUUAUUGUUAGAACCUAACUUCCCACUGCUUCAAAUGCUUUAUCAGUGGGGAACAACCUGGAUCACAGCAGUCACACUAAUUUCUGAGUGUGUGAGAGAAUGCUUAUGGGUCUGUCAGUGAGUGUGUGUCUGUCUGUGAUUGUGUGUAGGUCUGUCAGUGAGUGUGUGUGUGUUCAUGAAUGUGAGUGUCUGUUAGUGUGUGUCAAAUUAGUGAAAGUGUAUGUCUGUCAGUGACAUUUGUGUGUGUCUGUCAGAGUGUGACAAAGCAGCGAGGGUGUGUGUCUGCCAGUGAGUGCAUGAGUCUAUCAGUGUUUGUGUGUCUGUGAAUGUGUGUGUGUCAGUGAAUGAGUGUGUGUUUAUGUGAGUAUGUGUCCGUCAGUGAAUGUGUGUCUGUCACUGAAUGUGUUUGUGUGUCUGUCAGUGGGUGUCAACUUAGUGAGAGUGUGUGUUUGUCAUUCAAUGUGUGUGUGUCUCAAAUCAGUGAGGCUGUGUCUGUCAAUGAGUGUGAGGCAGUAAGGCUGUGUAUGUCAGUGUAUCUGUAUCUGAUAGUAUGUGUCUGUCAGUGAGUGUGUGUGUGUCAGUGUAUAUCUGUAAGUGACCGUGUGUGUGCUAGUGACUGUGUAUCUGUCAGUGAGUUUAUGUCAUCGUAUCAGUAAGUUGGCAUGUGUCUGUUAGUGAAAGUGUGUGUUGGUUAGAUAGUGUGUGUACCAAUGAGCGUGUGUAUGGGUCAGUGAGAUUGUGCGUGCUUAAAAGGAUGGAAAUUAAUUUAAAAAUAGUUUUAAUUGGCAUCUAGUAUAUACUGCCCAGUAUAGUUAUACCUAUCUAGGAUUUCACAUAUACUGUUCAUACUAUGCAUAGAAAGGGAUAGAUAUGUAUACCCUUUAUUGUUGUAUUGUCAGGUGUGUAGUAUGUCUAACUGGUCGUAUGUGUUGCAGAUGUGGUCAAGGAGCCCUAAAGAGAAAUAUAGAUUAACUGAUGGUUAGAAUCCUAACUAUUAAUGCCCAAGGCCUCAACUCUUAUCUUAAACAAGGAUAUUUGUUCAAUACUCUGGUUCUACAUCCAGAUGGUUCUAUGGUUCAUAUAUGGUGGUCCUGCCAUCGAAUUAAAUCUCUUUGGACGAUUACAUAUGAAUUUAUAAAUAGAAUUGGAGGUAUUUAUUUGGAAUUCAAACCGGAAGUCGCCCUACUCCAACUUUUGGGUUUAGAAAUGAAGGAUAAUCUUGAUAUUGUGAUUACACACUGUUUAAUGGCUACUAAAAUAUUAAUUGCUAGAUUUUGGAAAAGCACUGAUAUUCCUACGAGAGAUCAAGUUAAAGCCCAACUUCUAUUCCAAGUCGAGAUGGAAAAGGGGUUAAUGUCCAUGAGAGAAUAUCCUAAUUUUAAUUCUCUGAUGUUUUAUUCUAGUCUUGUUGAAAAAAUUAAUGGGGUUUGAGGAGGUGGGGUACUGCUUACGAUCACCUUAUGGUUAAUCUGAUCGUUUUUUUUCAACGGGUUCUAUUGUUGGGCUCCUUGUCCUCAUACUGUAUUACUUAAGUGUGGUAGUGGAUCUGCAAUACAUAUGACCAGUUUUGUCUUUGUUUUUGUCUGUCUUAUCUAUAAGGUUUUUAAGGCCGAUUUUGGACCAUGAUAUCCACUCGAUGGGACUUUAAUGUUAUUGUAUUAUUGUGUUCUAGACGGCCUAUUGAUGAAUUUUGAAAUAGAAUAAUAUACCUUUGUAUGUUUAAUGGGGAUAAGAGUCCUUAAUUUUUCUUUGUAAGGUUCUUCCCCCGAGAUGUUGUUAUGUUUAUUAUUAUUCUCAUGAAAAAAUCUAAUAAAAAGAAUUGAAAUAAAAAAGAUAUGUAUACCCUUGAUCACUGUAGAAAUGUGCAGUAUAUUAGACAGCUCAUUGAAGUAGUCUAGAUGCGGUGUGCCAGUCCCACUUAGUCCUGCAAUGUAAUUCAUUGCCGUUUUUGAGAAACUGAAAGACGGGCCUCUAGAGGCAGUUCCUGGUGGCUAACUGACUUUUUGGCUCUAGAUGAGGAUGUCCAGCGUCAGUUAAAUCCUUAUAGGAAAGCAUUGCAGCAAUACUUUUCUAUGGGGAAGGCCUAAUCCUCUCACCCCCCCCCUUGUCAGAUGCCCCAGUACCAAGAGAGAUCGGUGCUGGAAUCAAGGAAGUGUUAAAAGGGUUUUUAAUCCUUGGUGGAGAGCAGGGGGCUCUUUGGUGUAAGGAAUACAUCUUUGUAUUCGUUACACUAUAAAAUCCCUUUAAAUAAGCCUGUAAUGUUUUUUUCUAAUGCUGAUGUGGGUUUUUUCUGCUCAAUUCAUGUGAUAUGUGGUAAUAUGCAUAUAUGUGUGUGUGUGUAUGUAUGUCCAUAUGUAUGUGCACGUACACCUACCAGUCAAUUAAAUCCUCAACAUUCGGCCUAUGUGCCGAAUAGAUUGAGUGACAGUUGAUCCUCUCUCUUCCUGUCAAUGUGUUUCUCCCCUGGCAGGCGCUUGCUAGAGGAGUAUGGGAUGCACUGACGCCAGUGAUCUGGUAGUGAAGCUAGCAUGUUAGCUUUAGCACAGGGGAUUGCCAUGCUAAAGGAAGUGACCCCAAGAAGGGCCAAUAACUCCACGCUUACACACAGCCAAACCGCAUAUACAAUCACACUUAGCCAGCCACACACAUACACACAAUUACACUCCACCAACUCCACACACACAUAUUACAGUCAGCCAACCAAAGCAAAUAGACUCAAUCAAGCCCUACACAAAUUCACACUCCGCCAACCCCCGCACAAUCACACUUAGCCACCACACGCCUCCCACUCAGGUGUAUUGCUUAUGGGGCAGCAAGGAGAAUGUUAAGGGGGCACACUGCCCUGUGAUUCCUAGUUACUCCCCUGUGCUUUAUAAUAAUUGUCUGCAUUAUUGUUGAUAUAGUAUUGACUCUGUACCAAAUCUCUCUUUUUAAUAAUAAAUAAAAACUAUACUAUAAAAACUAUUGCUUAUUCAUGUCUUUAUAGAGACAUGACAGCGGAGGGGUCAUUGCCCAGGACAGCUGAUAAAAUCAUCUGUCAUCUCCCCCAAAUCUCUCCAGGGACUCUGCCCAAUCCUUUGUCACAUGUGUGGUCAAAUGGCAGACAGUACGUCACCGCUGGUCACGAGAGGUACUUAAGGCAGCCCGGAUAUUUAUAAACAAUCCUGCUAUGUAUAAUUACAUGACCAUGACCUGGCACUGUGUAUUUUACCACCAUGACAAUGCACAGGGAGAGACUGUGUUAAGAAAUGCAAAAAUAACCCAGUGUGAUCUCAUGACGGAUUGGGAGAGUGAAGCUGCAGGAGAUGCUUGAGGUGACAAAUAAAAAGUACAUUGAUAUUAAUAUGUAAAACAAACAGAGUUAAUUCUGGUUUUGGCUCUGACUGAGAAACCGAAUAGAAGUCUCUUUCACUAAAAAGUUGAGUAGCUUAGAUCUAAAAAUACGUAUUCCAGGUUAUUCAUUAAAUUAUGAAUUGUUAGAAAUUUAUUAUAGGUUAUUCAAUAAAAUGAAAACUGUUAUUAUUAUUAUUAUUGCCAUUUAUAUAGCGCCAACAGAUUCCGUAGCACUUUACAAUAUUAUGAGAGGGGGGAUUUAACUAUAAAUAGGACAAUUACAAGAAAACUUACAGGAACGAUGGGUUGAAGAGGACCCUGCUCAAACGAGCUUACAGUCUAUAGUCUGUUGUGAAUUCAAAGUGAAUUUGAAAUGUUAGACCAAAAGCAUAACUGAUUGGAGAAUUUUUCCAAGUCAACAAUUUUUGCCUUAAAUUUUAAAUUCACUUUGAAUUAAUUUAGAUUUCCUCACAAUUCUCACAUUAUUUAUUUAUUUAUAAAAUAUUUUAACAGGAAAAAUACCUUGAGCUUGAGAUUUCUCUUGUUUUUUAGAGUAUGUCCUGGUCCCAUAAACAAUGCAUUGUUACAAUAAGGUACUAUAUAAUAUUACAAACACAAUAUACAAUAUAUAUACAUUGUACAUACAUAAAUACACACAUAUAUAAAUUAAACACACACCAGGUAAUAAAUAUAGUCAACCAUGACAGGUGCAUUUGUAAAUAACCCUGAAAGAAUUAAACAUUUAGCCCAUAAUAGCCAACUGAAGACAUAAUUAAUGUAUAAUUGAGCAUCUGUGGGAUGUGCUGAAAAUACCAAACCGAUCAAUGUACGUCACACCUCUUACCAACUUACAGGACUUACUGGAUCUGCAUCUGCUACUAGACACCACUAGACACAUUCAGAUGUCAUGUGGACUUCAUGCCUCGAAUCAUCAGAGCUGUUUUGCCAUCACAAGGGGGACCUCCAUAAUAUUAGGCAGGUGGCUUUAAUGCUGUGGCUGAUUAGAGUAGAUAAUAAUACUAGGAUCUUUGCUAAAGUUAAGUACGUGCAGGUAGCAUGUGUGGUUGCACGUGUGAUAGGGGUCAAGCUUAGGGGGAGGUGAAAGCUAUGAGUAAAAUUUGCUACUUCAUACUCCUAGCAACAAUAGGAGUGAAACUAGAACAUGCUGGGUGUAGGGCUAGCAGGAGUUAUAUCAUUACUGCUAGGUGUGGUACAUGGGACACAUGGCAGCCAUAUUUGGCCUAACUGGGCAACUACAUACAAGGAACCCAAUCCAAGACCAAAUUUGCACAUUAUUCCACUGUGCUCUACUCCCUUCCCUACUUUUAUAAGAAAUAUGUUUUUAUUAACGGAAACUAAGAACUAAAAUGCAAUAUUAGUAAAAAAAAAAAAAAUACAGUUCAUAAAAUAUUUUAUUAUUGUGCUGUUACAGAGCUCCCGCAAUCCCCUUUAUUACAGUUGUCUGGUGGGGCAAGCGCUCCCCUGUGCCCCAGGUCAAUCCUUGCCCCUCGUCUGCCCAAAAAAGCAAAGUGUCAAUCAAUAGAAGGGAUAUCCAUGUGAUCUUGCUUGAGCCGAAAGGCCAUGAAUUUGCCCUACAAACUGCAAAGACAUAUAAUGAUAUACAUUGAAUGUGGUUUUUCUGAGGAAUUCUCUCUGGUGACUCUAAAAAAGGACAUGGUGGAGCAAGAGUUUUUUUAAAACAAGGACUGUCUUGUCAGAUCCUGGAAACCUGUCUCAUAUUCUUUUUGGAAUCUCUUUUGUUACCAUCACAAAUGGUAUGAAGAUACAAAUGGUAUCACCAAUGGUAUGAAGAAAUCUAAACAAGUCAAUACAUCACCGGCAUCUUGAAAAUCUGUGGCCUUUAAACAUCAUAAUCCAUCGCAAUCAGGACUUAUCAUUCUUCUUUUCUGGUCUGGUCAUGACUGAGUAAAGGGGAAGUCUCCCUGUUUAUAUACAAAUGUACAUUUAAGUGAAAUAUUUCUUGCUAUAGUAAUUCGGUAUUCAUAUUUGCGAAAUCAUACUACCUCGCAUUAACAUCCAAGAACGACCACAGUAUGCACAGUAAGCAUGAUAAAUCUCAUUAUGUCUGGCAAAUAUUCAUGUUAUGCAUUUCCUAGCUGUCUUCAUAUCCUUUCACUAAGAUUUAUAGCUUCCUGUAGCUUAUUAAAUUCUCGAGAUUGUUUGAUAAUUUAGCUCCUCGAGUUUUCUCUUCUAAAGAGCACAAGAUAUAGCUGAUAAUAAACAAGUCACCAAAACAAACUUGGAGGGGGAUUGAAGAAAUAGCAAAACAUUUAGUAACAAAACGUGCCUUACUGCAGAAUCUCAUUGACUUAGAGGUCACAGUGGAGUAUAGGUUGUGUGGGCUGAUCCUUAUAAGUCACGCAGAAUCCAAUAUUGUAUCACAUACAGGAUUAUUUUUUUAUGAAAAUAGGAAUUCUAAGUGAAUUUCAGAUUCAGGGCCAGAGUGGCUGAACUGAAACUGACUUUACAUUUUUUUUUUUGUUUGGCUAUUUUACAUUUAAAUUAAAAGAAUCCUUUUUGUGAGUAACCUUGGCAUUCUCUGGUGUGGUCAUUGGACAAUGACACAUUCUCGUUUUAGUAUAGAAAGUGCAAAGAAAUGUGAGAGGCAGAGGAUUAACAAAUGAAUUGCAAAUUGUAAGCCAACUGAGCAAAUAUGUGGCUAGGGUUUCCUAAGUUUUCCUAAUCUAUUUUGACCUAACAUUACAAUAUCCUUGCCAGCGCUCCGCGAAGCAUGUUUUAAUGAAUUAUGCCCAGUACUUUUUUUUUUUCUUUUAAACAUUCUUUAUUUUGGAUUAUUUUUUAAUUUGUUUAAAUUUUUUUAAACAAUGAAAUUGCAGAGAGAAGAAUAAGAAAACUGUCAUUUGCAUUCAUUAGUAAAAAGGUCUAGGAUGUGGUCAGGUUCCGUACAAAGGUCGGAUCCAUAAAAUGAUAACAAUGUAUAGUAUAACACCACUCUUUACUUUUUCGCAGAGUAUUCGCUGUCAUUGAGCAAGGCUGUCGAAGUAAGUAGGAGGCCUUGAACAUUUAGUCCUCCCCGUUACAUAGGGCACAACAAGCAAGGGAAAGUCUAGAGCCUAAGGAGAAAGAGGAGAGGUAUGGAAAGGGUAAAAAAGGGAGGGGGGAUUGUGAUAGGAGAAAGGGGACCUGUAGGACCCGCAAUUGUGGCCUUAGGAAGGGAGACACAGUACACUUGUUUGUCUAAAGGGAGAAAAAAGCAUUGCAAAGUGUUUCAAACUGAUUCUUUAUUAUAUUGCUUGGCCCAGAAUAGUUUUUCACAUCAUCAUCUAAACUUUUCAAUUCAAUUUUAGGUUCUCUACAAUUUGUUGUGCAGUAAAUAAACCUGAAACUCUAUAUUUUCAGUAAAAAAAUAAUAAUAAUUUUCCCCAUCUGUACCUGUGAUGUAUUUGUAUAUACACAAGUUUUCUUUUACUCACAUAUUAACUUUAUCAUAGUUAAUCGUGAUCUUGCGGUAUCAUUGAAUCACGUGAUUCCCACUACAAUUUUCUUUUCUAGCAAGAAUUUGAUACUUUAACAUGGCUAGGUGGUACUAAUACCAGGGGCUUCAGCGUUACUACAUUUAUUUGCUAUUUAAAACUCUGCUUCUUGUAUGGUAAAUCGUUUCAUAAGUAUAUAAUUUGUCAUUAAAAACCGAGAGGACUUGGGCGGAGCCUAACCGCCGAAACGACUAGACGCACCCUAAGUAAACUCCCGCACCACCAGUUUAAAGCAAGGAGAUAUCUUCCGACAGAGAGCAAUCACCAACACUGCAGUACCCUGAGUAUUUGUAGGGCGUCUUGGUGAACGUAUAGACACCAAGCCCGAGACGCUUGACCGCAGGACACCCGGGACGCAACUUUGGGGCCUACACAAGAUUGAGGUGGGAAGAGGCGGCCGCUCUCCUCACUUUAAACGGCGGUCUUGUACUCCUGGUCACCCUACAGUUCAAUCUGAAGCUUGACCCACUGCUCUUGAGCCCCACUAACGCCAAUGCCAAUGCAGCUAAGAUGGCGGUUGAAAUCCCUAAGAUGGUCCCAGCGGGCAACGCUGAACAUGAACAGCCUACCGGUGGACUUUUAGCUGGCUUCAACCAGGUGUGUGCUGAUUUCUGGAAACUAAUUGAGGAAAGGCAGGAGAGGAGAAAUGAAGCAGAGAGACGCAAACAUCUGCUACACAUCUCAUCCCACGCAGCCCUGAUGAGAACCCCCAGAGGCAGUGCGCCUGGGCCUGUACGGAGAAAAGGCAGAAGGAGUAGAAAUCCUCCAUGCUCUCAACAUAGAAGCCAGUUAUCUGCAAGAAGUGCCAGAGAUUGUGUCCAGACCGGUGACGGAGAUCAGAUACGUGAGGAGCCAGUGCAGGACUAUAUCGGGACUCAAGGACUGUGGGGUAGCUCUGAGGCGAUGCAGUCCCUUAAUUUGCCACUGGGAAGGCUGUGUUUGUUAGUGGGCAUAGGCUGACCACCCCUCUCGAUAUAAGGCUCGAGCCCUCCCUCUUUAUAGGCCUCAAGUCCCAAGUGGGGUAGUGUUGUAUAAUCCUGUUCCUUAGCUCACCCCCUUGCGACUUAUGUUACAGUGCAUCCGCUUGCUCAAUUUAUCAUUGCUUCCCUUCCUUGAAAACACCAUCUGUACCAUACCAUGCUUAUUAUAUCUUAUUUACACAUGACUACUUAAUAAGUAUACUCUCAUUCAUACCUACCUUGUUUACCUUUUAUUUUUUUACACGCCCACUCGUGCAUACUUAGCCUGUUGCAGUAGUAUCAUUACGCUAGAAUUGUGGAUACAUCGCUUAGGAGCUCACUCUCUAUUGAUUUAUCACAAUGAUGUAUUCAUGUUGUUUUGCAUAUUAAGUCUUACUAUUUGUGUAUAUUCCUGAGUUGACUCCUAUGUGCCUGUAUUGUACCUUAGCUACUCUUUGUCUAUAUAUAAAAAAUGUGCUAAUAUCUCGACUGCCACACUGUUUUGAUUUGUGUUUUACUUAUACUGCCAUUGCUGUUGUGGUGAUGCAGGCCUGCUUGUCAACUAAGCACAACAAAAAUGAAGAAUUAAAAAAAAAAAAACGAGAGGACCAGGGGAAGAGGUUGUUGGAAAAUCUGAAAUUUAACUUAGAGAGAAAUACCUCUAACUGCAGAUUUUCUGGAUAUUGAAAUGAAAGAAACAAUGCUACAACUAGACUCAGCUCAGAUCAGCCUUCCCCAAAAACUCAUCUGAGGAGAUUCUACAAAAUACUAGAUACAUACACCUAAAAUACCUACUGAAUACAUUAUUUUGUUAUUUGUAAAUAUCCAAAAUACGCCCCCCAAAAAAUAUACGAUAAAAACUAAAACAUAUUAAAUUCUUUCAUCUGUAAGAAAAGGAAAAAUUAAAUUAUAUGCCAAGAAAAAAAAAAUGUCUAAAAAGGGUAUACCUUUAAAAAUAAAGUAGGUUUGAAGACAUUUCUAGAACCUAGGACGGUCAUUGUGUAAAGGGGAAUUUGGUGAAAUCAUAUUCACCUCGUCCUCUUUCCUGAAUCUGUCAUUACUCUGAAAAUAUGUAACAAGGACUACAAAUAUGACUGAUAAACCGCCAGGGAAGCAAUGUGGGUGCAUAUUGUUAUUAAUAAUACUAUGUGAUUACCCAGAAUUUUAUAAGAUAACGCUAUAGACAGUUUCUCUAAGUUAUAGUCAUUAUUUUACGCUUAAAAUCAUUUUAUACAAUAGGAAUAAAAGCGCUGUGAUUUAAUUUUGUAUUUUUCCUUUUUCACCAGAAUUUAGGUUUCCUAAUCAGAUUUUUCACGGGAAUUUAAAUGGUAUAAAAUAAUUAUGAGCAUUACUUCCUCGGCCUUUGUUCCGUUGCAGGAAAAAGCCAGAAAAGGCAAAGAAACAGUCAUUGUCACAUCGCGAACGUGUCAAACAUAUGAAGAAAAAAACAGAAAAAUGUCAUAAUGAGGAGCUUGUCAUUCUUUACAUCAUUGGAUGAUGGUACAUAUUUGCGCUGCUUCCCAGCAAUGGAAUACCUGGCUAGUUAACUGUUUCACUACCAAAUUUUCUUUAUUUAAAGACAAACACCAGCGUUCAAAUGUUUUUGGACAUGAAAUGCUAGCGUAUAAUCGUGGGUGAAAGAUCGAUUUUGCGAAUAGAUUUGAGUUAACCAAUUAAAAUCGUGUAAAUGUAUUUAAAUAUAGCUUGUUAUUUAUUCUUUGGUGUAUUUAUCAGUAUAUAUUGAUGUCAUAUUUAUAUAUUGUCAAGAGACUACAAUGUUAUAGACAAUGCUACAAACAGACCCAGAGGUGGAGCUUCAGCUCAGAUUAGCCUCCCCCAACAACACCUCCUAGGACAGGCAUAGGCAACCUUCGGCACUCCAGAUGUUUUGGACCACACCUCCCAUGAUGCUUUGUCAGCACUAUGGGUGUAAAAGCAUUAUGGGGGAUGUAGUCCACAACAUCUGGGGUGCCGAAGGUUGCCUAUCCCUGUCCUAGGAGAUUCUACCAAUUAGUUGAUAAAUCCACCUCAAUACCCACUGAAUAAGUUUUUUGUUAUUUCUAAACGUCCAAAAUAUGC
RNAcentral lists this long non-coding RNA (24661 nucleotides) under Pelobates cultripes (western spadefoot toad). The record is from RNAcentral. Lineage: Eukaryota; Metazoa; Chordata; Amphibia; Anura; Pelobatidae.